This 348-nucleotide unclassified non-coding RNA is filed under the name Hevea brasiliensis (rubber tree). The record is from RNAcentral. Lineage: Eukaryota; Viridiplantae; Streptophyta; Magnoliopsida; Malpighiales; Euphorbiaceae.
AAAAAAGAGUAAAAUCCAGGUUGAACCAGGCUGACAGGUUGGACCUGUGGUUCCAGUACGGUUCAAGAAACCCUUGAACCUAAAUCGGCCCUACCCUCUUCCAGUCCUGGUUCAAUCCAGUUCCAAGAAUCAUUGACCCAUUGCAGUCUUGGUUUUGACCAGGCUGGUUCUGGUCCAAUAUCGAUCCCAAACCGGACAUUGGCCAUGUCUAACUAUACAUCCCUGCCUUUUUAAAGUGAAUUAAAUUGCCAUAACCAUCUGAUUUCAUUAUAGUUUAGUAUUUUCACUGAAAUAUCUUAUGCAUUUGUCCCUAAUGUUUUAUUGUGAACAAUAUUUUAGUCCUUGAGU